GACGAACGCUGGCGGCGUGCUUAACACAUGCAAGUCGAACGGAAAGGCCCUGCUUGCAGGGUACUCGAGUGGCGAACGGGUGAGUAACACGUGGGUGAUCUGCCCUGCACUUCGGGAUAAGCCUGGGAAACUGGGUCUAAUACCGGAUAGGAGCCAUUUUUAGUGUGAUGGUUGGAAAGUUUUUUCGGUGUAGGAUGAGCUCGCGGCCUAUCAGCUUGUUGGUGGGGUAUGGCCUACCAAGGCGGCGACGGGUAGCCGGCCUGAGAGGGUGGACGGCCACAUUGGGACUGAGAUACGGCCCAGACUCCUACGGGUGGCCGCAGUGGGGGCUCUUGCGCCCUGGGCGCAAGCCUGAUGCAGCGACGCCGCGUGGGGGAUGACGGCCUUCGGGUUGUAAACUCCUUUCGCUAGGGACGAAGCUUUUUGUGACGGUCCCUCGCUAAGAAGCACCGGCUACCUACGUG
RNAcentral lists this ribosomal RNA (464 nucleotides) under uncultured bacterium. RNAcentral describes it as "partial 16S ribosomal RNA". It matches the Rfam family "Bacterial small subunit ribosomal RNA", at positions 28 to 507 of the family's 1533-position model. The record is from RNAcentral.